Molecule: long non-coding RNA, 768 nt
Organism: Eucalyptus grandis
Lineage: Eukaryota; Viridiplantae; Streptophyta; Magnoliopsida; Myrtales; Myrtaceae
Exons: 3
Source: RefSeq, a predicted model, not a curated record
AAAAUCGUGUUCCUUUUCUAUUUCUUGCUCAGCCCUUCGAACACCGCCUCUUCUCCUGCGAGCCUCGUCUCCAAACAGGCUUCGGUCGGCCGGCGCCGAUCGUCCGGCUUCGGAAGCCGGUCUCCCGCCUCGGCUCGGCUUUGUUGACUCGCCGCUCCUAGUCGUUGUCGUCGUCGUCGUCGCCGUCGCCGUCGUCGCUUCAAGGAGAACGAAGCACCCCACCUUCGACGCUCGAGAUUCGCCAUCAAAGCCUUCUCGAAAUCCUCAAGCUCCUCUCGCUAGCUCGGCCAUGUUCGGUGCUCGCGACGCCUUCGCCGCGUGAUCUUCAGCUGCUACGGCGGUUUCCCCGCCGGCUCCGGAGAGACGAUGGUGAGCAAGUUCCUCUGCGACUUCCGGUGGUUCCUCCUCCUCGCCGCGGCGGUGGCGUUGAUCCACAUCCAGUUUCAAUUAAAUCUUUCAAUUCAGUUUCUUCCCCAACAUUAUCGUCUUUUUUUGGCUUUAAAGAGAUGCUCCAGCAUCAAGCAAUGUACAUAUGUAUGUAGCAGUCAUGUUGGCUUCCGUGAUCAAUUCUUCUUGCGUUGAUGUGUCUUUUCACGACACAAUUGGAACAUGCUGAUCAACUUGCUGCUGCUGGAAGUCUCCAUCCUAUUACCUCAUCCUGGUAUCUACUUCUGGAUCGAUGGCCAUUUGAACCUCUAGCUUUGUUCCAAGAGAUACACAUUCAGUUAUUAAGAUAUGUACUCGGUAAAUUUGUUAUUAUCAUGUGCA